Molecule: ribosomal RNA, 253 nt
Filed under: uncultured bacterium
Lineage: Bacteria
Description: partial 16S ribosomal RNA
Rfam family: Bacterial small subunit ribosomal RNA
Source: RNAcentral
UACGGGGGGGGCAAGCGUUGUUCGGAAUUACUGGGCGUAAAGGGCUCGUAGGCGGCCAACUAAGUCAGACGUGAAAUCCCUCGGCUUAACCGGGGAACUGCGUCUGAUACUGGAUGGCUUGAGUUUGGGAGAGGGAUGCGGAAUUCCAGGUGUAGCGGUGAAAUGCGUAGAUAUCUGGAGGAACACCGGUGGCGAAGGCGGCAUCCUGGACCGGUACUGACGCUGAGGCGCGAAAGCUAGGGGAGCAAACGGG